CUGACAAGCUGAGGAGGCGCAUAGGCCUUACAAAGGAGGGGAGGACAAUUGGUUUAGUGAGUUCAUUUCAUCGUGCCCUCCCUCCAUCUCUCUCCCUCCCUAGUGGGCUUUGUAGAUUUUCUUCACAAGUUUCAUGGCUUCGGAGAGAAAGAGGAAUGGGGUCUGUGAAAUGUAUUAUGAAUUAAAUGCUGGUGGUUGGACAAGGCUGAGGUGGUAUCUAUAAUAUAACAUAAAUUUCUAGAAAUCGGAGCUUCCUUCAAAACACAAGGGUGUAUUAUAAAACACUGCAGCUAAUAAAUACAUACUAAAGGGAUCCUACAGGGGAGGGACAAUCUCCAUCUGGGUGAUGUGCAGUGAUGGCUAAGGUUUCUAAUCCAUGCUUUGUACUAUAAUGACAGCUCUGUGAUCCAAGAAUAAUCAUAAGAAUAUAUACCAAAUAUUGAUUGUCUACUGAGUGCUGAACACAAAGUACAUAUUAUUUUUAUACUACAAGGAUCCUGCAAGGUAGAUAUUUAUUUUCAGUUUACAGGUAAGUAAAGGCUCAGAGAGAAUAAAUACGUUUCUACAAAGAGCUGGUUAAUGGCUCAACUAGCACCAGAACGAAGUUUAUCUAUUUCAGAUUGUGAGCACUUUGCACUAAGUAACAUGAUGUAUCUUUCAGAAAUAUCUUAUUGAAAAUUAUUUUUGCUCCCGAUUUCCCUCAUAGUUAUGUAUUAUUAUGCAACUAAAAUAUCUUCUCUUUUAGAUAAUUGUGACCAACCAACCUAGGAAAAAAUUGGUAUUGGUGUGCAAGGGAGAGGGAGUUGGGGACAAUCUAGAUCCAGACAUAUAGAGAUUAAUGAGAGAAAAAGAAUUAUCUCCAGCAUCACAUAUUCCUUCAGCUUGCCUAUUUCCUGCAUGCCGCAACUAAAGAUCCCGCAUGCCGCAACGAAGAUCCCAUGGGCGGCAACUAAGGCCCAGUGCAGCUAAAUAAAUAAAUAAAUAUUUUAAAGGCUGGACUGUGGACAUGAUGGUAAGAGCCAGUGUUGACCAUGGGCCAUGCAGAUGAGGACAACCCUCUAGAAGAGGCAGAGCAACAAGGCAGAAGUAACCUGGAUCCCUUAAUGACCACCUGGAUUGGAGCCACCUCCCUACCCAAGACCACCCAUGAGAAAUAAAUAAAUCCUGUUGUAUCUAAA
Molecule: long non-coding RNA, 1178 nt
Organism: Orcinus orca (killer whale)
Lineage: Eukaryota; Metazoa; Chordata; Mammalia; Artiodactyla; Delphinidae
Exons: 2
Source: RefSeq, a predicted model, not a curated record